GGCUUGUGGCUCAGUGGUAGCGUGCUCGCCUAGCAUGUGUGAGGCCCUGGGUUCGAUCCUCAGCACCA
RNAcentral lists this transfer RNA (68 nucleotides) under Marmota monax (woodchuck). RNAcentral's name for it is "tRNA.Ala". Lineage: Eukaryota; Metazoa; Chordata; Mammalia; Rodentia; Sciuridae. The record is from RNAcentral.